CUAUAUCCAAAGAUAAAGAUAGGCAUGAAGUUGAAGACAAGCCUUAAGUCCAGAGUCCUGGAUUGAAUAAUUAUAUUCACUAAUUACAUUGAUCUACCGUUAAACAUGCUUCCUGAACACGUACUUCUGGCUGGAGAAAGGUAAAGUCAUCCUGAACCUCAGAUUAUCAUUACACCAAUUUAAAGUACAAUGUGUAGCAAUAAUUGAAGAACAUCUGACAAACAUGUGACCACCUCAAUAAAUGUCAAAAACAACCUUUAGCUAAUAUUCAAAACCUAGUUAAAUUAAUUACUUUCAAUAAACUAAGAAAAAGAGGGAUCUCCAUAUUCUAAAAGAGGAUAAUUUCACAGUCUUACAAAAUAUAUUUUUAUUAACGGUGAAAUAUUGAACUCUUUCCCCAUAAAAUUGAGAUAAAUAAGGUUAUCCACUCUAUUACUUCUAUUUAAUAGUAUACUGGAGGAUGUCAGUAAAAAAAUGAUAAAGACUCUUGAAAAUUCCGUUCAACAUGAAACAAUGAGAGCACAAUGAAUUGAACUGUUUUUCAGACUUCUGGAAAUUAGCCAAAGUUUUCAGAAAUAGUUCAAGUGUUUAUUUAACAAAAGUGCAUAUAUCUUAGUGAGAAUAGUGAUAUUGUCUUGUUCUCUUGUUGUCUUGUUCCCUCCUUACAUCUACACAUGUAGUGGAGCACUGAAAAGAGAUAGCCCACGGUGAAAGCAGAGGUCUGACACUGGAAGCAGCAGCAUGGAGUUGGAGCUCCCUCAAAGCUCUGUUCCAGAACCUUGUCGUACUUUGACUCAUCUUGUGGAUCUCUGGAAAAUCACACAUGUAGAGCUAUUUGUAUAUUGCCAGGACUUUGAGCUUUCCUAGUACCAAAGCCAUAUGUGGAAGACAGUUAGAGGCAAUUUUUGAGUAUUGUGGAUGACUGAAAUCAUGAAUAACAGUUGAAGAAAUUAAUAGGUUAACUAAGAAGCUUAAAAUAAAAAGAUGAUGAAUGAAGUUGUUUUAGUCAGCAUUUUCACUUCUGUGACUCAAAGAACUGAAAAGAGAAAAGUUAGAGGUGGAAAAUUUUAUUUGAAGGCUCAUUAUUUCAGUGGUAUCAGUCAAUAGACAGCCAGUCCAUUCCUUGAGUCUCAAUGAAAAAUUGAACAUCAUGGCAGAAGAGUAUGGUGGAGGGAAGCAGCUCACAUGAUUAUCAGGAAGCAAAGAGAAAUAUCUACUUGCCAGAUGCAAUUAUAUACCCCAAAGGCAAACCCCAAUGCCCUACCUCCUCCAGCCAUAGCUACCUGCCUUCAGUUACAACUAAGUUAAUCCAUCAGGUGAUUAAUUCACUAGUUACAACUAUUAUACUUAAACAUUUUUACCUUUAAACCUACUUGCAGUGACCCACACAUGAACUAUUGGGGGACACCUCACAUACAAACCAUAACAGAGCUGUUCAUAAAUGACAUCAAGUAUGUCUAACAUACUCCUGGGGCAUUAGAACACCAUGAAUGUUCAGGAUAGAUCUAAGAAGGUCCUAAGUUUUCACCUUAGUCCAACUUCAGGUGUCUGUAUAAUGUGGAUCAAAAAAUUAAAAAAUUAAGCAGAACUUACCAUAUGAUCUAGAACUCCAUUUAAGGGUAUUUACCUAAAACAAUUGAAAGCAUGCACUGGAAUAGAUAGAUAUUUGUACAUCCAUGUUUACCCAAAAUAGCUGAAGGUAAGAAAACUCCAAAAUAUGCAUCAAUGGAAGAAUGGAUACAAAAAAUGUGGCCAAUACAGUCAAUAGAAUAUUUCCCAGCCUUAAGUAAUAAUGACACAUUUUACCAAACGGUUGAAGCUUGAACACAACCAGACCAAUAAGAUGGUAUUUUUGUGAGAUACCUGGGGUAGUCAAAUUCAUGGACUGAAAGUAAAUGGUAGUUUUCAGGGAAAAAUGAAAUAGGAGAUGUCAUUUAAUUGGUAUAGACUUUUAGUUUAGGAGGAUAAAAAAAAUCUCUGGAGAUGAUUGUUGGUGUUAGUUGCACAAUAAUGCAAAAUACAUGUCACUCAAUUAACAUGUUAUGCAUAUUUACCACAGC
Molecule: long non-coding RNA, 2060 nt
Filed under: Marmota monax (woodchuck)
Lineage: Eukaryota; Metazoa; Chordata; Mammalia; Rodentia; Sciuridae
Source: RNAcentral